RNAcentral lists this ribosomal RNA (133 nucleotides) under Dictyosphaerium sp. CCAP 222/39. RNAcentral describes it as "partial 28S ribosomal RNA". It matches the Rfam family "Eukaryotic large subunit ribosomal RNA", at positions 1 to 132 of the family's 3401-position model. The record is from RNAcentral. RNAcentral also lists the same sequence under 1 other name. Lineage: Eukaryota; Viridiplantae; Chlorophyta; Trebouxiophyceae; Chlorellales; Chlorellaceae.
UCGACCUGAGCUCAGGCAAGAACACCCGCUGAACUUAAGCAUAUCAAUAAGCGGAGGAAAAGAAACUAACCAGGAUUCCCCUAGUAACGGCGAGUGAACCGGGAAGAGCCCAGCUUGAAAAUCUCCAGCCCCC